AUUGAACGCUGGCGGCAGGCUUAACACAUGCAAGUCGAGCGGGGUGAUGGUGCUUGCACUAUCACUUAGCGGCGGACGGGUGAGUAAUGCUUAGGAAUCUGCCUAUUAGUGGGGGACAGCAUCUCGAAAGGGAUGCUAAUACCGCAUACGUCCUACGGGAGAAAGCAGGGGAUCACUUGUGACCUUGCGCUAAUAGAUGAGCCUAAGUCGGAUUAGCUAGUUGGUGGGGUAAAGGCCUACCAAGGCGACGAUCUGUAGCGGGUCUGAGAGGAUACUCCGCCACACUGGGACUGAGGCACGGCCCAGACUCCUACGGGAGGCAGCAGUGGGGAAUAUUGGACAAUGGGGGGAACCCUGAUCCAGCCAUGCCGCGUGUGUGAAGAAGGCCUUAUGGUUGUAAAGCACUUUAAGCGAGGAGGAGGCUCUUUUGGUUAAUACCCAAGAUGAGUGGACGUUACUCGCAGAAUAAGCACCGGCUAACUCUGUGCCAGCCGCCGCGGUAA
Molecule: ribosomal RNA, 503 nt
Filed under: uncultured bacterium
Lineage: Bacteria
Description: partial 16S ribosomal RNA
Rfam family: Bacterial small subunit ribosomal RNA
Source: RNAcentral